Molecule: ribosomal RNA, 484 nt
Filed under: uncultured bacterium
Lineage: Bacteria
Description: partial 16S ribosomal RNA
Rfam family: Bacterial small subunit ribosomal RNA
Source: RNAcentral
AUUGAACGCUGGCGGAAUGCUUUACACAUGCAAGUCGAACGGCAGCACGGGGGCAGCCCUGGUGGCGAGUGGCGAACGGGUGAGUAAUACAUCGGAACGUGCCCGGUCGUGGGGGAUAACGUAGCGAAAGUUACGCUAAUACCGCAUACGAUCUGAGGAUGAAAGCGGGGGACCUUCGGGCCUCGCGCGAUCGGAGCGGCCGAUGUCAGAUUAGGUAGUUGGUGGGGUAGAGGCCUACCAAGCCGACGAUCUGUAGCUGGUCUGAGAGGACGACCAGCCACACUGGGACUGAGACACGGCCCAGACUCCUACGGGAGGCAGCAGUGGGGAAUUUUGGACAAUGGGCGCAAGCCUGAUCCAGCCAUUCCGCGUGCAGGACGAAGGCCUUCGGGUUGUAAACUGCUUUUGUACGGAACGAAAAGGCUCUGGCUAAUACCUGGGGCUCAUGACGGUACCGUAAGAAUAAGCACCGGCUAACUACGUG